RNAcentral lists this ribosomal RNA (432 nucleotides) under uncultured bacterium. Its description in RNAcentral is "partial 16S ribosomal RNA". It matches the Rfam family "Bacterial small subunit ribosomal RNA", at positions 29 to 507 of the family's 1533-position model. The record is from RNAcentral.
ACGAACGCUGGCGGCAUGCCUAACACAUGCAAGUCGCACGAGACCUUCGGGUCUAGUGGCGCACGGGUGCGUCACGCGUGGGAAUCUGCCCUUGGGUUCGGAAUAACAGUUGGAAACGACUGCUAAUACCGGAUGAUGACGUAAGUCCAAAGAUUUAUCGCCCAAGGAUGAGCCCGCGUAGGAUUAGCUAGUUGGUGAGGUAAAGGCUCACCAAGGCGACGAUCCUUAGCUGGUCUGAGAGGAUGAUCAGCCACACUGGGACUGAGACACGGCCCAGACUCCUACGGGAGGCAGCAGUGGGGAAUAUUGGACAAUGGGCGAAAGCCUGAUCCAGCAAUGCCGCGUGAGUGAUGAAGGCCUUAGGGUUGUAAAGCUCUUUUACCCGGGAUGAUAAUGACAGUACCGGGAGAAUAAGCUCCGGCUAACUCCGUG